UUAAAUUCAAUAUUUAUUGCAUAAUUAACUAAAUUUAAAGUACAAAAUACAGGAAAAUCUGUUAUAUUAUGAUUACAACCUGAAGGCACAGAAUUUUGAUUAAGGCAAAUUAUAAUAAUCGGCGAGGGACGUUUGAGCUUUUUCAUAGGACAUUUGCGCUUUUAUUUUUGGACACUUGUGCUUUAAAUCAUAGGACAUUUGCACUUUUGUAAUAUUUGGUUUUAGAAUAAAGGAGGACCACCUCUUUUAUCCGGGCUUGGGAACGGCAGGUUUGACCUUGUAGAGUUAAAAGUUUAAAACUCACUGCUUAGCACAUUUCUUAGCACAUUGAUAUAUGUUAAAAGUUUAUAUACAGCUGAAACUAGUAAUGAAAACAUUCUUAAGACAUGUUAACAUGUACAGUCAUCACAGGUCAGUUUUCACUUGAUAUCUAAAGCCAAAGGACUGAAAAAAAAAAUAGCUCUUGUUAAUAUCUGUUCUGACUGGAAUUUCUCCCAUAUUUCAAAUAAAUAAUCAUGCUUCUCAAUUCUGGGGUGCCUGUUCAUCAAUAUAACAAAUUGUAAUGUAAUUAACCGACUGUUGUUAAAUGAUACUCUUCAAAAAGAAAAAAAUAUUUGCAGAAUGAGUGGGCAUGGAAGGAUUCUGCACCAUUUGUCAUUUUUAUAAUGAAAAAUAUAAGUUAAAUUCAUCUACAUAAUAUACCUUCUCCUUAAAAUUACAGGUGGACAACGAUAGGUAAAAAGUGCAAAUGUCAGGUCAAUUGAAUACAGGUGAUUCAAAAUUUAAAGUGCAAAUGUCCAUAGUAUUUGAAGCGCAAAUGUCCUAUCGUUUUACAGGUAAAAAAGCGCAAACGCCCUGUGCCCAUAAUAAUACAGUUAACCUCCUUAUACUCAGUAAACUUUCAAUUUCAUAGAUUCAAAUAUUUUUGUUUCUUUGUAAACAAUUCUAAUUUGCUAUUCUGUUGAUACUAAUAGCCAUACUUAAAUUUUAUGGUUUUCUUUUCUCUGCAGAAUCAAGAAAACAACAUAUGUGUGCUUAUUUGGGGAAGACAACUCCCAAUCAUCUAAAUACCUUAUGAAAUCUAAAAUGCCAUAGGGCAAGGGAAAGAAAAGGAUCUUUACUCCUCUCAGUGUGAUAAAAUAUAUUUACUGUCCAGUCUAAAAGAGAUUCACUGUAUAAAAAAUAUUUGUUAAAACAUAAAUAUUUGGAAAAUCGAUUUGUACAAAAGUAG
This 1231-nucleotide long non-coding RNA is filed under the name Mytilus galloprovincialis (Mediterranean mussel). Lineage: Eukaryota; Metazoa; Mollusca; Bivalvia; Mytilida; Mytilidae. The record is from RNAcentral.